This 74-nucleotide transfer RNA is filed under the name Actinomycetota bacterium. RNAcentral describes it as "tRNA-Arg". It matches the Rfam family "tRNA". Rfam says of the family: Transfer RNA (tRNA) molecules are approximately 80 nucleotides in length. Their secondary structure includes four short double-helical elements and three loops (D, anti-codon, and T loops). Lineage: Bacteria; Bacillati; Actinomycetota. RNAcentral also lists the same sequence under 1 other name. The record is from RNAcentral.
GCGCCCUUAGCUCAGUGGAUCAGAGCGGCUGGCUACGGACCAGCAGGUCGGGGGUUCGAGUCCCUCAGGGCGCG